Molecule: transfer RNA, 69 nt
Filed under: Gorilla gorilla gorilla (western lowland gorilla)
Lineage: Eukaryota; Metazoa; Chordata; Mammalia; Primates; Hominidae
Rfam family: tRNA
About the family: Transfer RNA (tRNA) molecules are approximately 80 nucleotides in length. Their secondary structure includes four short double-helical elements and three loops (D, anti-codon, and T loops).
Source: Rfam by way of RNAcentral
GGCAGCAUUGCAUAGUAGAAUGUGGACUUUGGAGUUAGUCAGCUCUAGGUUCGAAUCCCAGUGCUGCCA